RNAcentral lists this transfer RNA (60 nucleotides) under Trioza erytreae. RNAcentral's name for it is "tRNA-Ala". The record is from RNAcentral. Lineage: Eukaryota; Metazoa; Arthropoda; Insecta; Hemiptera; Triozidae.
GGAUUAUAGUUUAAAAAAAACAAUUAUAUUGCAAAUAAUAAUUAUAGAUAUUUAAUCUGA